AAAUAAAUGAAGUGGAGGAAAUGGCAGUCAGAUUUAUGUUUGCUUGGGCAGGAAAGAGGAUGACCUGAGUCUUUGUAGGAGAAAUGAGUAAACUCCUAGGAACAUUGUUGUUUAUUCUGUGGCUCCAGUCUGACUGGGUGAAGAGUCAACAGAAGAAUGGUGACCAGCAGCAGGUUAAGCAAAAUCCUCGGUCCCUGAGUGUGACAGAAGGAGGGAUUUCUAUUCUGAACUGUGACUAUGAUGACAUUAUGUUUAAUUACUUCCAUUGGUACAGAGUCUACCCAGCAAAAAGUCCCACAUUCCUGAUAUCAAUAGGUUCCGUUUUGGAGAAAAAUGAGGAUGGAAGGUUCACAGUCUUCCACAGCAGAAGUGCCAAACACCUCUCUCUGCACAUCUCGGCCUCCCAGCCUGGAGACUCAGCCUUGUACCUCUGCGCAGCCGGCACACAGUGCUCCCCAGGCACCUGCAGCCUAGAGAGGCUGUGGGUCAGCUGAACUUCAGUCAUCGACGAUGCUUUGUUCUGACUUGCUCCUGGAAUGAGGAUCCAGCAUGGCUGACACAGUAACUCAAGCUCAGACUACAGUAACAGCGCGGGAAGGAGAAGCUGCGACCAUAGACU
Non-coding RNA from Dama dama (fallow deer), 619 nucleotides. The record is from the annotation of a RefSeq genome assembly. Lineage: Eukaryota; Metazoa; Chordata; Mammalia; Artiodactyla; Cervidae.